RNAcentral lists this long non-coding RNA (2319 nucleotides) under Bemisia tabaci. RNAcentral's name for it is "lncRNA ENSASIAIIG005458". Lineage: Eukaryota; Metazoa; Arthropoda; Insecta; Hemiptera; Aleyrodidae. The record is from RNAcentral.
ACCGAAUGUAUUUAUUUAUCUUAAUUCUGCGUGUGUAAGAUUAUCAUAGUGACGCAAAGUGGCAAACACGCCUUCGAAGAAGCCGAAAAGCAACUAUAUUAGCUCCUCCAAAGUUUGCUCGGUGACAAUUCGAGAGCUACAGACAGAGCCUAACUGAUAUUUUGUCUAGUUCAGAGUGCUUCAAGUGUAUACCAUCAUGUUUUCAAGAUUCUUCAUAUUAGUGAGCACCUUGUUGGCUCUUGCAAUGGCAGCACCCGCGGCCAACAUCCUCCCUGCACCGAUAGCGACAGCUCAAAGCUCACAAUUCUUCGUGCGAAACUACAACGGGAUUGUGCCGCCACCUCCUUUCGUGGUACCUGCAGUCGCUGAACCAAUUCUACCUCUCGAUCCAGUUUAUCCCUUCUAGUUACCAGUCAGUCAUUCAUUCAUAAGUUAGUUUACACAACAAGGAUGUUUUUAGUAUGACGUAAUCAUCUGGGCCAAUUCUUUGUUUUUUUUUUUAUAGGCGAUGGGUCAGUUGCGCUUCUUACGAAGUCAUACAAUUAAGGCAGGAAACACUGUGCAUGGCAUCUUAAAAUGCUACAUCGAAUAUUGAUACUCGAUCUCUUGCCAUAUUAAGUCGUUUCCCUCUAUUCCUUCCUUUUCCAUACGGCAGCAAGAAAAUCUAAAAUUUUGGAUCGGAGAUCAAAAUGAGAAAGUAGUCUUUUGAGUUACAUUCACACGAGUCUACGAUAAAUUUAUGUAUGGCGUGAGCAUUCAAACUUUUCAUAUCAUAGUGGAUUAUUUAAAUGCCGGUAUCCGAUGGGGGAAAAAUGCGCUUAAAGGACAGAUGGAAUUUUACCUUUCAAGACAAAUUUGGUGGAGUCGAUGAAUGUAAUUUUACUCUGAAAAAUUAAUCCUGAGCCAAAAUGAGAAUUUUAUGAGUUUUAUACAAAUUGACACUACGACUACAUUCAUUUUCCACCACAUUCGUCCGAAUGAAUAUUAAUUAAUAAGACAUCUUCCAGGCUUUUGACGGUUGUUUUUUUUUCUCACUGAAAAUCAGAAAACACAUACUGAUGAUUGUCUAUAAAAUUUAAUAGUCCAUGAGAUGUUCUCUCUAAACGGUCAAACUAGAGCCCCUCACCCUCGUGUCUUCAUGGCGAGCUAUAAGAGCUUGCCUCCGGGAUGAGCUCGUGGUAUCAAAGGAUAUUAGAUUCAUUUGCAGUCGAAGUAGAAUAAUAUCUACAUUACCGAUUGUUAUUCUCAACGUUGAAAAAAUUACCGUUUUAAACGGAGUAAUUGUCAAGCGUACGGUGAAAUUGUCACAUUAUUUAAUUGAUAACUUAAACGGGUAGUAAUAGCAUUUCAUAUAACAUGUUACUUUAUCAUGUCAUCAAUUUUAUAAUAGAAAAAUUGAAUCGUGUCAGGGAUAUAAUGUAUAUAAAAAAGAAAUAAAUCAUUCUAAAAUGAAAACGAAAAUGUAGACGCUUUAUUUUCCUUUUCACCAAGCUGAUUUUCAUCAUCAAUUAGACACGCAUAAGUCAGUCAAAUUUUUGAAGAUGUCCUGAGCGUUAUAUAAAAUUAGUUUGACGUCCCAGCCUCAAUAAAACAAUUACACGCCACAAUCCGUUAACGAUUCAGUCAUCUAGUAUCAUUUAAAUCAGUUGUUAGGAUAAAAUAAAAUUAAGUCACUCAGUAUGAGGCAAGUGCCCACUAAUUUAUCAAUAUAAUCAGAUGUAGACGCUCCGACGGAGACCCUUCGAAACGCAGAGAUACAAGUUUAUAUACACUUGAGUUGAAAUAGUUGCUGGGUCUAAGAUGUUCGAUCUCUCAGGGAACAUUUAAGAGAAUUAAAGCAAACGUUUACAGAUGAAACGUCGACAUUUAAGCUUUUCAGAAAGCCAUUCAGAUAUUAUCCAUAAAUGUACCAUUGAACUUUUGAUUGCUGAGUAAAAGAUCAAAUUUUACAUAUCGACGGUGUAAGUUGGCAGUCACAUAACUCGUUUGCGGUGUCUGAAAAUCUCCGCCUCUAUAUUAUUUUUUAAAAGAGAACAAAUUGACAUCAUUCUUUGAAAUUUUUGCAGAAUUUUCUUCGCACAGAGAAGAAAAAUCACGGCAGUUUUGAAGAAUUGCCGUUGAGUAGUUUUAAAAAUAGUAAAGUUUUUUAGUAGUCAAAAAAUAAAGUAUGACAGGAAAACUGCGACGUCGCAAACCGAGUUAUGUGAUUGCCGACUUACACCGUCGAUAUACUCCCUCUAAGAAGGUGUUCGUAUGUUAGUUUUAUGAUCUAUGUUCUGACCAGCAAGUAAGUUUAUUUGAGAAUAGACUUCUUUAAUC